Molecule: ribosomal RNA, 216 nt
Filed under: Glomeromycotina sp.
Lineage: Eukaryota; Fungi; Glomeromycota
Description: partial small subunit ribosomal RNA
Rfam family: Eukaryotic small subunit ribosomal RNA (bases 46-216)
Source: RNAcentral
GGGUCAGUAGGUUGGUCGUGCCACCGGUACGUACUGGUCUCACCGAUUCCUCCUUCCUGAAGAACCGUAAUGCCAUUAAUUUGGUGUUGCGGGGAAACAGGACUGUUACUUUGAAAAAAUUAGAGUGUUUAAAGCAAGCUAACGCUUGAAUACAUUAGCAUGGAAUAAUGAAAUAGGACGAUCGAUCCUAUUUUGUUGGUUCCUAGGAUUGACGUA